GCGGUCAUGGCGGAAUGGCAGACGCGUCAGCUUGAGGGGCUGAUGGGGGCAACCCCGUGGAAGUUCGAGUCUUCUUGGCCGCA
This 83-nucleotide transfer RNA is filed under the name Candidatus Enterococcus palustris. RNAcentral describes it as "tRNA-Leu". It matches the Rfam family "tRNA". From Rfam's summary of the family: Transfer RNA (tRNA) molecules are approximately 80 nucleotides in length. Their secondary structure includes four short double-helical elements and three loops (D, anti-codon, and T loops). RNAcentral also lists the same sequence under 1 other name. Lineage: Bacteria; Bacillati; Bacillota; Bacilli; Lactobacillales; Enterococcaceae. The record is from RNAcentral.